AAUCAACGCUGGCGGCGUGCCUAACACAUGCAAGUCGAACGAGAAAGUGGAGCACUCCAUGAGUACAGUGGCGCACGGGUGAGUUACACGUGACUAACCUGCCUUCGAGGGGGGAAUAACCUCGGAAUACCGGGGCUAAUACCGCAUAACAACAUCGGGUGAAAUUCCUGCUGCUAAAAAGUUUUUUGCUUGAAUAGGGGGUCGCGGCUGAUUAGCUAGUGGGAGGGGUAACGGCCCACCAAGGCAGUGAUCAGGAGCCGGCCUGGGAGGGCGCACGGCCACACUGGAACUGAAACACGGUCCAGACUCCUACGGGAGGCAGCAGUGGGGAAUUUUGCGCAAUGGGGGAAACCCUAACGCAGCAACGCCGCGUGGAGGAUGAAGUCCCUUGGGACGUAAACUCCUUUCGAUCGGGAAGAAUAAUGACGGUACCGGAAGAAGAAGCCCCGGCUAACUUCGUGCCAGCAGCCGCAGUAA
RNAcentral lists this ribosomal RNA (477 nucleotides) under uncultured bacterium. RNAcentral's name for it is "partial 16S ribosomal RNA". It matches the Rfam family "Bacterial small subunit ribosomal RNA", at positions 32 to 523 of the family's 1533-position model. The record is from RNAcentral.